Molecule: microRNA precursor, 77 nt
Filed under: Myotis lucifugus (little brown bat)
Lineage: Eukaryota; Metazoa; Chordata; Mammalia; Chiroptera; Vespertilionidae
Description: mir-9193 microRNA precursor family
Rfam family: mir-9193 microRNA precursor family
Source: Rfam by way of RNAcentral
CUCAGGGUGGGGGGGUGUUCCCUCAGCCUGGAUUGUGAGAGGGUGCAGGCCAGGCCGAGGGACCCCACCACUGCACA